Long non-coding RNA from Penaeus monodon (black tiger shrimp), 1509 nucleotides. RefSeq lists it as uncharacterized. The record is from RefSeq and is a predicted model, not a curated record. Lineage: Eukaryota; Metazoa; Arthropoda; Malacostraca; Decapoda; Penaeidae. The transcript is spliced from 2 exons.
GAUUCAGAAUGAUCAUGGUAUUAGUACAGGAAGAUAAGUCUGGAUGGUGGACAUGCAAGUUUCGUGGUCAAGAAGGGUUUUGCCCGGCUAAUUACCUUGUGAAAAUAUAAUGUCCUUGAUUGCAGUAAAGAACAUAGAAAGAGAAUAAUCUGUAUAUUUGUAUGGAUUCAUUUUAUAUCGUGGAGUCAUUCACUAGUAUAUCAGUAUUUUGCUGGAAAUAUAGAGGAGAAAUAGUUUUAAGAAGAAAAGUUUGGCUUAUAUAUUUAUACCUCAUAAUGUUAAAAUGCAUUUGAGAGAGGAAUGAUUGAUAUUAUCACAUUAGAAGAAAAGAAGCUAGCAAUAUUAACUUAUUUGAAAACUGUGUAGAUAAAGGUAUUUUGGUCAUUGAAGAAAAUUAAUGCCUGUGCUCAUCAUGUACUUUAUAUUUUACUAUAUUUUGUAUUGUCUGUGCAUGUAUGUAUGUAUGUAGUGCGUGUGGUUGUGCAUGUGCACAAGUGACUGCAUGAUGUAGGCGAGUGUUUAAACAGUUAACCUUUCUGAUGGUUUGAAAAGCUAGCAAAACAGUUUAUUUUUCAAGGAAUAAUAAUAUACGGUUCUGCUGAAUUCCUGGUAUAUACAUUUUCCUGUGGCAUUUCUUACUUUGAUGUGUUUGAGAUUAAUGGGAGGAUAUCAUAGACUGUAUGUUAGUAAAAUAUGGUUUAUUUUGUACAGGAUCAGGAGUUGAAUCAGAACAGUAAUUUGUUAAAAUUGCUUUGAAAAGUAAAAGUGAAUGGCUAUUAUGUAUGGUCCAAGUAACCUUCAUUAUGUAUACCUGUAAAUAUUAUCCCUGUUUCAAUCUAUAAGGAUAAAGAUGUAUAUUCUUUUUAAUAUGCUCUUCUUUCUGUUCGUGUAAAUAAUAACUACAGCAUGACAUAUGGUUUGAUUUUUUUUUUUUUUUUUUUUUACGUUGCAUAAUAACUUGUAUCAGGUUUGCCUCUAUUGUUUUGUUAGAAAUGUGUGAUGUUAUGAUCAAAGCAGCAUUGAUUUGAUCUCUCUCGAAGGUGUUUGUGAGCCACAUGAAACCUAUUAUUCAACUAUAAUGAACAUAUGUAUAAUUACAAUUUAAGUUUCCUCAACAGAAUUGCACUGGUAUGUAGUGUCAUUAUUGUUAAAUUCCAUUUCUCAUAUUACCUAUAUAUCAGUGUAUGCUAAAAGAAAAGAUUGUAAAUAUGUUUGUAUAUUCAUUUUUAUAAGUAUUUAACAUAGAAAUAUACUGUAUGGGGGUUCACCAAUCUUCAUUUAGUGAAUGGAUUGUAUAGCAGUGAAGUUGUCUUGCUACUAAUGAUUGACUUUCCCCGUUUUGUUUGCUCCUCCAUAGUGCUAAGGAAGAAAUAAAUAAUAUGCCAAAGAAAAGAUAUGAGUAACCAAUAUUUAACAAGUCAUCUUUGGAAGUGCUUAAUGAAGUGAUGGAUGGACAUUUGUAAAUUAUACCUAUCUAGUCUUCAAUAAAAUUUCAUGUUUGAAGUAAAA